Molecule: long non-coding RNA, 3511 nt
Organism: Equus quagga
Lineage: Eukaryota; Metazoa; Chordata; Mammalia; Perissodactyla; Equidae
Exons: 3
Source: RefSeq, a predicted model, not a curated record
GUUCAGCUGUAAGAGACUCCGGGGUGAAAAUGUUGAAGACCAGCUCCUCAUUCUUCUUUCUUUUCCUAAUUAAUUGCAAUUGAUCUAAAAAUACUUAUAGCUGGGAAAGUCUCUGAUGCUGGAGCUGGAACAAGUUGCUGAUUUGGUCACAGAACUGGAUCUAAGGCAAGCACAGGGACCCAGGCAAGUCAAGAGGCUGAGGACUCAUAAGUCAGUUCUUGGGGACUGCUCCCCUCAUUAGUUCAGUUUAUUGUGCACUUUCUCCAUUGACUGCGAUGUGUGCAAUUUUCCCACACAGUAGACUCUGGCCCUUUAUGGCUGUAACAUUUACAGUUUAAGCUACUUGAGCGUGAUCUGAAAGUCCAUUCUAUAAGAUAAAAUGCGAAAAUUGCUGAGGCAUGAAUUUGAAUCACUGGAACUGCAAGGGAGUUGUGGGCGAGUCAAUUACCUCGUGUCUGGACCAGCUUCUUGCCCAGUCUCCACCUCUUAGGGCAGCCCUUUCCAGUCUUUCUUCAUUGUUCUGUGUGAGAAGGUUUGGGGACAUAGCCGUGGUGAAUGCUGUGAUUCUGUCAACGAGUAAGAGGCAGAAACUACAAAAGAAGCAAAAAGGUUUAUUUGGGGUCCCAAGAAUUGCAAUUCAGGAGACAUAGUUUCAAGUAGAAACUCAAAUGUGCUCCAAGGAAGACAAAGGAAAGAGGGGUUUAUAAAGGCAAAAAGAGAGAAAUUGCAUAGGCUGUUUUGCAAGAGUUGUGAUUGGUGCCGGCAACAACUGUUACUUCCUGGCUACACGUGAUUGGUUGCUGAGGCCAUCUCUGAGGCAGAAAGUUCUUAUCUACGAGAGUCAGCAUAUUUCUUGGAAGAAGGUCAGGAUGACAGCAGUGAUGCACAGUUCAAAAGUUUACGUACCAUCUGGGUAGAGACGUGCAUAAACCUCACUUCCCUGACGGCCUCCCAGCUCCAUUUUAGAAGGCUUGACAUAUGUUACUCCAUUUUUUAAAUCAUUGUGUACAAUUCUUAAAUGCCUGUGACUACAAACCAAAGCCCAGCCCAGCCCAGCUUUCCUAAACACGCACAAUCAUAAAGAAGACCCAAGGAGCAGUCAACAGAACAAAUUUGAAGCUGCUCAGCAUUAUUUAUUCAUCUUUUAUUGUGGGCUAGGCCUUGUGCUAUGUGUCAUAAGAAAUGCAAAGAUGAAUAUGACCCAGUUUUUGCCCUCAAAGAAAAUACAACCAAUAAGAGUCAAAAACAACACAAAUGACCAUAAUAUAGGGCCGUGCCAGAUAACCACUCUGGGGUGUUUUCCAUACCAACAACCAAUUCUCUGAUUCUCCAGACACCAGUGUGGUAUUCAACAAUUCAAUUCAAUUCUGAUGCUACCUGGCAUUAGUGCAGACCCCACAGGUUAAGGGCUCAAGUCCCACAAGACUGACCCCCACAUCAGACACCAGUCGCAAGUCCUGGGCCUCCAAUAUUUUUGACCCACCAGCUAUAAAUUGGGGGUUCCCAUGACCCCCUCCUCACAUUUGACAAUGUAACCAUGGGCCUGCUAGCACUAGUUCAAACUAACCCCAUCUCUUAUCAACAGAGUGAUUAGGAGUUGUUUUCCAGAAAAUUUGCAAAGUCGCAUAGCCAGAGCAUGUGCAGAAGAGGAAAUCUUGACCUGAAAUGACACUGAAACCAAAGAUUCUCCUCUACACAGAACCAAAGGACUGGGACAUGACUGGAACUCGAAAGUCAGACCCUCAUCAGAGGCCAGGGGUCCAAUUUCUAGGAGGAUCCAAUGUUAAAACCCCUUCCACACUUUACCAUAAAUGUUUAAAACCUUACCAUAGAUAUUGAAAACUCGACCAUAAAUUCUUAAAGCCCUCCAAUCAAAACAUGCCCUGCCAGCCCUUUCUGGGUACCAGCUUGUUGUCCCUAACCUCUUAAAUUUUGCCCCAAAUCCUGAAUCGGGGAGACAGAUCUGAGAGCUUCGGCCUCUUGUCUGCUUGCAGGUCAACCUCUCAAUAAAAGCCUUUUCUUUUCGCAAGAGCUGAUGCCGUAAUAAUUUUUUUUUUAAUGCACAUCAGGCAGAGAACCCCACUUGUGUGGUAACGGCAAUUUGCUAGACUAGCUCACAGAACUCAGGAGCACAUUCUGCUUACAUUUUUUGGUUUAUUAUAAAGAUACAAGUGAAGAUCAAGAUGAAGAGGUACAUAGGAUGAGGUCUGGAGGGGUCUGGAGCACAGGAGCUUCUGUCCCACGGGGUUGGGGUGCACCUCCCCAGUACAUGGAUGUGUUCACCAACUCAGAAGGUGUCUGAACCCUGCAGUUUAGGGGUUUUUAUGGAGGUUUCAUUAUGUAGUCAGGAUUGAUUAAAUCAUUGGCCAUUGGUCAUCAAACUCAAUCUCUAGCCCCUCUUCCCUUCCAGGAGGUUGGAGGGUGGGGCUCAAAGUUCCAAGCUUCUAAUCAAGGCUUGCUCUUUCUGGAGACCAGCCCCAGUCUUGAAGCUAUCUAGGGGCCCUCAGCCGCCAGUCAUCUCGGGAGCGUACAAAAGACAUUCUUAUCACUCUGGACAUUCCACGGGUUUUAGGAGCUGUGUACCAGGAACUGGGGACAAAGACCAAAUAUUUAUUUUUUAUUAUAUCAUAACCCCCGUAAGGAAAUUACAAGGAAAGUGUUAUAUGACUUCAGAGAGAAGACAGAUCAAAUCCAUUUUUUAAGACCUCACAUUGCAAUGUCAUGUAAUGGGAAAGAAUUUGGAUUCUGGAGCCUGCCAGCUCUGGCUUUGACUUCUGGGCAAAUCUCACGGCCACUCUUCUGCUGCUUCAUUGGUAUCCUCAAUCACAAAAUGGAACAAUGUCGAUUCCCCUGGAAGCAGUAAACCACAAUAAGAUGAGGAGAUUACUGCCUGAAACUUGCAAUCCCAUUGUCUGUCAGCCUAUGAAAGAUAAAAAGUGCCACUCGUGUAUCCAGAAAGUCAUUUUUCAGUAGACACAGAUGGCGUGGCUUCCUGACUUCCCCACUUCAUGGAGACUUGCCUUCAGUCUUCACAUGGGACAGUGGCCUGGUUGAAUCCUACAGACAGGAAGAUGGAGGAUGCCUCAACAGUAUUGGAGGAUAAUUGGUAGGGGCUUUAAGGAAGAUAAUGUCCGAUCCCUGACAGUGGCUAGGGGAGAAGGUGACUUGGAAAGGUUUUCUGUCAAUAAAACAGAGUUUCCAGCACACUCUUCUAGGUCCAAAAUGAACCCCUUCACCAUCAAUAACCUCUGUUGUGUCUGCCCUAAGAAAGGGCAUGUGGAGGAGAGACGAUGAAUACCCAUCGGAUGGGUGAUGCCACAGCUGAUGCUGUGGAGCAUCAUGUGGUGAGUAGCCAUUCACAUUUAUUGCACGCAUUAUAUUCAUUAUCUGGUUUAAUCCUAAGGACAAAGUUUGACGUGGGUACUGUUAUUAUUUCCAUUUCAUGGACAAGGAAAUAGAGGCCAGAGUAUGAAAUAAUAUGCCCAACAUCAUGGAGCUAGUUAGUGGUGAA